GACGAACGCUGGCGGCGUGCUUAACACAUGCAAGUCGAACGGAAAGGCCCUGCUUGUGUGGGGUGCUCGAGUGGCGAACGGGUGAGUAACACGGGAGUAACCUGGCCUGGACUUGGUGAUAACUUCAGGAAACUGGGGCUAAUACCGGAUAGGAGCGCCUGCUGCAUGGGGGGGGUUGGAAAGUUUCGGCGGUUGGGGAUGGACUCGCGGCUUAUCAGCUUGUUGGUGGGGUAGUGGCUUACCAAGGCUUUGAAGGGUAGCCGGCCUGGGAGGGUGACCGGGCACAUUGGGACUGAGAUACGGCCCAGACUCCUACGGGAGGCAGCAGUGGAGAAUAUUGCACAAUGGGCGGAAGCCUGAUGCAGCAACGCCGCGUGCGGGAUGACGGCCUUCGGGUUGUAAACCGCUUUCGCCUGUGACGAAGCGUGAGUGACGGUAAUGGGUAAAGAAGCACCGGCUAACUACGUG
RNAcentral lists this ribosomal RNA (468 nucleotides) under uncultured bacterium. RNAcentral's name for it is "partial 16S ribosomal RNA". It matches the Rfam family "Bacterial small subunit ribosomal RNA", at positions 28 to 507 of the family's 1533-position model. The record is from RNAcentral.